This 426-nucleotide ribosomal RNA is filed under the name uncultured Geobacter sp. RNAcentral's name for it is "partial 16S ribosomal RNA". It matches the Rfam family "Bacterial small subunit ribosomal RNA", at positions 355 to 774 of the family's 1533-position model. Lineage: Bacteria; Pseudomonadati; Thermodesulfobacteriota; Desulfuromonadia; Geobacterales; Geobacteraceae. The record is from RNAcentral.
UGGGGAAUUUUGCGCAAUGGGCGAAAGCCUGACGCAGCAACGCCGCGUGAGUGAUGAAGGCCUUUGGGUCGUAAAGCUCUGUCAGAGGGAACGAAGUGUGGGCGGCUAAUACCUGUCCAUUUGACGGUACCCUCAAAGGAAGCACCGGCUAACUCCGUGCCAGCAGCCGCGGUAAUACGGAGGGUGCAAGCGUUGUUCGGAUUUAUUGGGCGUAAAGGGCGUGUAGGCGGUUUUUUAAGUCUGAUGUGAAAGCCCCGGGCUCAACCUGGGAAGUGCGUUGGAAACUGAGAGACUUGAGUACGGGAGAGGGCAGUGGAAUUCCCAGUGUAGGAGUGAAAUCCGUAGAUAUUGGGAGGAACACCGGUGGCGAAGGCGGCUGCCUGGACCGAUACUGACGCUGAGACGCGAAAGCGUGGGGAGCAAACA